Molecule: long non-coding RNA, 1703 nt
Filed under: Ananas comosus (pineapple)
Lineage: Eukaryota; Viridiplantae; Streptophyta; Magnoliopsida; Poales; Bromeliaceae
Description: long non-coding RNA (ACOM_LNC015351)
Source: RNAcentral
AAAGGUCAUAAAUUAUGAAAAGGGUUGAUAAGAGCCAAAAGGUUAAAAGCACGGAUUCUCUUAUGCUUCCGAAAGUAUAGUAACUCUAUUAUUUAUAAUUAUAUGUAUAUAAAGUUUAGGUUAUUGGGCAUGUACUUGCCCACAAAACUAGACCAAUAAAAUUCUGCUAUAAUUAUUCUCUCUCUUUUUUACUUGCUCGCAGAGUCGCUUUUCUUAAUUUUUUUAAUAUUAUAAUACUGUAUUUCAUACAUUUAUUUUGUAUAUUGAAUAUUCAAAUUAUUGGAUAUUUUUUUUAUCAAUUUUUAGAUAAUAUUUUACAAAAAUUAAAUUAUAGAUUGUUAAGAAUUUUAAGCAAUUUGUUUACUGGUUGAGCUCGCUGGACUCAAAGUUAGACUCGCUCAAGCUUGGUUCGAAUUAAUUUCAAGCAUAGCUUGAGCUUAAAUUUAGGCUCGAAAUUAAUUUCAAGGUAAAAUCUUGAGUUGAGGUAAGCUUACUCAAACUCCGCUCGUUUCCACCCCUACAUUAGCCCCCUUCCGUUAGAGUUUUAUAUUAUUCUAUCUAUUUUGUAUAAAUUAUAUCAAAAAUAUUCUUCAAGACGGCAGAAAUACAUUAAAAAUUUAUUUUUAUUUCUUAUAAAAGAUGUAAAGGCAAUUGAUUAUUUUGCCCUUUCCAUUAACAUUGUAAUUUAUAAAAAUGUUUUUGAAUUUUUAAAAAGAUAAAAUAUAGAUUUUUGAAACAAAAUUUUUAUAUUUUGACCUAAAUUUUUGAGCUAUAGGUGAGAAGCAGACACGUGCGAUACCACGAGGGGCAAAUGAAGUUUACCUUCUUUUUUCCGUAGGCUUUUUUUACAUUUAGCUUUCUCAGAAUUUUUUUUCUAUGAAUAGUCCUACAAAAUUUAUAUUUGAAAGAUUGGUCCUAUCCACCAACGCAAGCGCCACAUGAGUAGUUGUUUAGGUUAAGUUGAACUCCGUAGAUCAUUCACUGUAUUUAAACACGACGAAUGAUUUAUCGUGUUACAUUAUUUUUCCUCCGAUUAGAAAGAAUUAUUCAUUAUAUCUAAAUACGAUAAAUGAUUCAUCAUGUUCAACUUAACUUUCACUGUCAUCGACGCUUGCGUGGCCUCGUGCGGCAACGGGAAUAAGAUCAAUCUUAUAAAUAUAAAUCUUGUAGAACUAUUUGUAGAAAAAAAUUAAUAAGGGUGCUAAAUGCAAAAAAAAAAAAAAAAAAAAAAAAAACUUGUUUCCGUUCAAUCGCGCGAGGCCGGACAGCUAAAGCUCGCCUUUCCAAGAAAAGAAGAAAAAGCGAAAAUAUUUUAGAAUUAAAUUCAAAUCACGCUCGCCCAAUCCGAGUCCCUUCAAUCGAAUCACACUCCCAUUCGAGAGGGAACCAAAAAAAGAAAAAAAAAAAAUCUCCCAAUUUCUGGGGUUUUUUCUACCACCUCUCAAUGCGAUAAUCGAUUCGAUUUGAUUUGAUGCGGCCGAUUUCUAGGGUUUCUUGCCUCCCAACGCCGUCGAUUUUACGGUGAAUUUGGGGAUUUUUUUUUUUUUUUUUUUUUUUUUUUUUGGGAGUGAUGGGAAAGGGCUCGUGGAAUUGGGGAUCUUAGGAUUUGAUUUGAUGCGGCCGAUUUCUAGGGUUUCUUGCCUCCCAACGCCGUCGAUUUUACGGUGAAUUUGGGGAUUUUUUUUUUUUUUUUUUUUUUUUUU